UACGAAGGGGGCUAGCGUUGUUCGGAAUUACUGGGCGUAAAGCGCGCGCAGGCGGUCUUCCAAGUCAGUGGUGAAAGCCUGGAGCUCAACUCCAGAACUGCCAUUGAAACUGUUAGACUUGAGUACGAGAGAGGUGAGUGGAAUUCCCAGUGUAGAGGUGAAAUUCGUAGAUAUUGGGAAGAACACCAGUGGCGAAGGCGGCUCGCUGGGCAGUGGCUGACGCUGAGGCGCGACAGCGUGGGGAGCAAACAGG
RNAcentral lists this ribosomal RNA (253 nucleotides) under uncultured bacterium. RNAcentral describes it as "partial 16S ribosomal RNA". It matches the Rfam family "Bacterial small subunit ribosomal RNA", at positions 524 to 776 of the family's 1533-position model. The record is from RNAcentral.